AGCAGCCGCGGUAAUUCCAGCUCCAAUAGCGUAUAUUAAAGUUGUUGCAGUUAAAAAGCUCAUAGUUGAAUUUCGGGAUCAAUAUAUUGGUCAUGCUUAGGUAUGUACUGGUAUUAUUGAUUUCUCCCUUCUGAAGAACCAUGAUGUCAUUAAUUUGAUGUCGUGGGGAAUCAGGACUGUUACUUUGAAAAAAUUAGAGUGUUUAAAGCAGGCUUUCGCUUGAAUACAUUAGCAUGGAAUAAUGAAAUAGGACGUUUGAUUCUAUUUUGUUGGUUUCUAGGAUCGACGUAAUGAUUAAUAGGGAUAGUUGGGGGCAUUAGUAUUCAAUUGUCAGAGGUGAAAUUCUUGGAUUUAUUGAAGACUAACUACUGCGAAAGCAUUUGCCAAGGAUGUUUUCAUUAAUCAAGAACGAAAGUUAGGGGAUCGAAGACGAUCAGAUACCGUCGUAGUCUUAACCAUAAACUAUGCCGACUAGGGAUCGGAUGAUGUUAAUUUUUAAUGACUCUACG
Molecule: ribosomal RNA, 509 nt
Filed under: uncultured Glomus
Lineage: Eukaryota; Fungi; Glomeromycota; Glomeromycetes; Glomerales; Glomeraceae
Description: SSU rRNA
Rfam family: Eukaryotic small subunit ribosomal RNA
Source: RNAcentral